CUUAGAGUUUGAUCCUGGCUCAAGACGAACUCUGGCGGCGUGCCUAACACAUGCAAGUCGAACGGAACUGUUCUGAAAGAUUUCUUCGGAAUGAAUUUGAUUUAGUUUAGUGGCGGACGGGUGAGUAACGCGUGAGUAACCUGCCUUCAAGAGGGGGAUAACAUUCUGAAAAGAAUGCUAAUACCGCAUGACAUAUCGGAACCACAUGGUUUUGAUAUCAAAGAUUUUAUCGCUUGAAGAUGGACUCGCGUCCGAUUAGUUAGUUGGUGAGGUAACGGCUCACCAAGACCGCGAUCGGUAGCCGGACUGAGAGGUUGAACGGCCACAUUGGGACUGAGACACGGCCCAGACUCCUACGGGAGGCAGCAGUGGGGGAUAUUGCGCAAUGGGGGCAACCCUGACGCAGCAACGCCGCGUGAAGGAUGAAGGUUUUCGGAUUGUAAACUUCUUUUAUUAAGGACGAAACUUGACGGUACUUAAUGAAUAAGCUCCGGCUAACUACGUGCCAGCAGCCGCGGUAAUACGUAGGGAGCAAGCGUUGUCCGGAUUUACUGGGUGUAAAGGGUGCGUAGGCGGCUUUGCAAGUCAGAUGUGAAAUCUAUGGGCUCAACCCAUAAACUGCAUUUGAAACUGUAGAGCUUGAGUGAAGUAGAGGCAGGCGGAAUUCCCCGUGUAGCGGUGAAAUGCGUAGAGAUGGGGAGGAACACCAGUGGCGAAGGCGGCCUGCUGGGCUUUAACUGACGCUGAGGCACGAAAGCGUGGGUAGCAAACAGGAUUAGAUACCCUGGUAGUCCACGCUGU
RNAcentral lists this ribosomal RNA (801 nucleotides) under uncultured bacterium. RNAcentral's name for it is "bacterial SSU rRNA". It matches the Rfam family "Bacterial small subunit ribosomal RNA", at positions 1 to 803 of the family's 1533-position model. The record is from RNAcentral.